UGGUCCCAAAGGAGCCCACCACAGGCAGC
This 29-nucleotide non-coding RNA is filed under the name Mus musculus (house mouse). Lineage: Eukaryota; Metazoa; Chordata; Mammalia; Rodentia; Muridae. The record is from RNAcentral.